RNAcentral lists this long non-coding RNA (1040 nucleotides) under Cercocebus atys (sooty mangabey). Its description in RNAcentral is "lncRNA (ENSCATG00000045505.1)". Lineage: Eukaryota; Metazoa; Chordata; Mammalia; Primates; Cercopithecidae. The record is from RNAcentral.
GAUGAAUCUGGAUUUCAUCCUUCAAAACAUGGUGAACUCUUUGGGGGAAGAAGUAUUCUCUGUCCCUGUGGCAGUGCCAGGCACACGGCAUCUCAUCCGUAUCAGCACUAGAAUGAACCUCAGCAGCAAAGGGCUGUAGAGCGUAUGUUCUGAGUCUCUACGCAAAGAAAUAAUAUGAUUAAAGGUGAGGAUGCCAGGGGAGUGUAAAUCAGAACAGCAGUAGGAAGUCUGCUCAUAAGGAAACUAAUCUGGGCAGGAUGUGACAAGGACCAGGGCAGAAAGAAAGAAGGAGAGAGAAGGGAUUCUGGAGACACUUGGCAGGGACGUUGGCUGCUGUCUUCUGACCCACCCUGUGUGACUUUGGCGUCUCCUGUGACCUCCCAGUAUGGGUCUUGGCUUCAUCCUGCCUCUUUGCCUUUCUGGCCCACCACCCCCAACUUGAAUCUCAGGCUCCAACAGUUGCCUGACCCCCAGACUCUGAUGACAGCCUACCUACUUGUUCUUCAGACCCUGAGCAGACUCACUGCCCAGACACACCAUACACGAGAACAUGAAAGGGUAUUUGAGUUUGGGGCCAUGUCAUAGGAUGCACCUUGAAAUGAGCCACGAAAUGUGCAGUCUAAUGGUCUCUGUUGAUCCAUUUGCUGUCUGUGAAACUCCAGAAGUCAGAUGGAAAGGCCAAGGCCACCCCAAGCAUGCUGAAAUUAGUGGGCCAUCGUCAGGAAGAAGUUCGGAACUACAUAUGGAACCAGAUUGUGUAUUUUCUUCUGGCGUGUCUUCUGAUUUUUUAUAUCGAGUAAUAGGAAACAGGUAAAUUGAGGACUUAUGUUUAUCUGGUUAGGAGUCACGUUGUGUUUAGUGUUGCUCAUAGAUGUAGGUACUAAACAUUUCAAUCUCCUCUAGCAUCCUUGUUUUUGUUUUACUUCUUGAUUUUGGGUUUUUGUAUGUACUGUUGCUUAGGGAAAAUUUUUCUUUUGUAGUUCUUUUUUUUAUUUUUUAUUUUUUUGAGGUGGAGUCUUGCUUUGUCACCCAGGCUGGAG